UGUCUUCAAGAAGAAGCUGCCCUUCCUUGGUGGUGUUGAAUGAAAAACUGUAUGCAUAAGGCAGUUAUGAUGGGACAAGUUUUUCUUAUCACGUGUGGAAAUGUUUGAUCCUUGUAUUGGCUCUUGGAUUUUGCUGAUCCAAUGAAUAUUUUCAAAGGAUAUAGUGUAUCUAUGACUCGUAAUGAUGCUAUGCACAUUGUGGGAAGUUUUAUGAAUAACGGCUGAGUGUUAUAGAGAAGGAGCUGGUUGGCAAAUUACUGGUUCAAAAGCCUUUGGAAGCAGAUGCCUUCACUCAGCUAUGGUUUUGUAGAUUGCUAAGAAUUAAGUUGAAAGAUAUAUCUCAUCAUUUUUUUCUUCUAUAUGUUGAGGGCAUAUUCAGUUUCUCUUGUUGUAAUUCUAUUAGUUGGUCAGAGCUGCAAGAACGUGCAUUCUACAUGAUUAGUUAGACUUAGUUGAUGACCUGUAGAUAAUACUGCUCACUGUUACAUGAAAAUUGUUGGACAUGGUUGGGUAAGUCUUGUUCAUUUGAUUAGUUUUUUGAAAGCCUUAAACUACUUACAUGGGCCAUAUGAGGUUAACAUUUGAAUGAUCAUAGAAUGUGAUUUUCGAGUUAAACUCCAGCUAGCAUAUGAGAAAGAUGAAAAAGUGAGAGACUCCAAAAUAAGAGCCUUCCUAGAUGAGA
Molecule: long non-coding RNA, 682 nt
Organism: Nymphaea colorata (pocket water lily)
Lineage: Eukaryota; Viridiplantae; Streptophyta; Magnoliopsida; Nymphaeales; Nymphaeaceae
Exons: 3
Source: RefSeq, a predicted model, not a curated record